Molecule: non-coding RNA, 213 nt
Organism: Pelobates cultripes (western spadefoot toad)
Lineage: Eukaryota; Metazoa; Chordata; Amphibia; Anura; Pelobatidae
Source: the annotation of a GenBank genome assembly
CUAUUAUAUGCAUUUAUUUUUUAUUGAUACAUUUCUGUUUGUAUGUUAACCACAACAACCUAUCUGUGUGGUUUAUACCAUUUCAAACAAGAAGAAACCUAAAUCAGACAUGUUCUUGGGAGCUAAAUAUAGCAUGAUGGCCAGUCAUCUCUUCCUGAUGGGAGUUGUGUUCCAGAGCCCCUAGAAUGUGAGAGUGUAUCUACAAAUAUUUAC